This 575-nucleotide long non-coding RNA is filed under the name Callithrix jacchus (white-tufted-ear marmoset). Its description in RNAcentral is "lncRNA (ENSCJAG00000069192.2)". The record is from RNAcentral. Lineage: Eukaryota; Metazoa; Chordata; Mammalia; Primates; Cebidae.
CCAGUGUAGAAACACGGUGAAAAUGGUUUAAACUAAAAACACAACAUGAUGAUGGAAAAAGGGUUCCGAGUCUCAGCAACACAGCUCCUGCCCCCUCCAAAUUGAGGACUGACAAAGAAAUUCAAGAGGAGAAAACGGCUCAAGAGCAGCACAGAACUCCGUCUGUCACGUGGCUUUACGCAGCUGGGCAGCACCACAGAAGUGUGUUUGACAGAGAGAACUGUUUUGAAUCAACCCUCUGAGAUGUCGAAAUCAGCCUGUCAGACUUUGCUCACUCUAUCACAUUUCCCAAGAAGAGGAUCAGAGAUAAAGAGAAAUAUGGAAAUUUGGAGUAAAAGGUGAGGAUAGAGAACAAGAAAAAAAAAGUGCCUUCAGAGACUGCAAAAAGGAAUUCAAUAAAAUAUAGGACAAUCUGGUUACUAACUUGAAGUCAGAAAUGUGAAGAAAAUAGUGUAUCAAAACGUUACAGAAAAAUCCAACCACUGUAUCCAAGUGAAUGACACCUUAGAGACAUAAUGAAGAAUUGUACAGGGAAGAAACUUUGUGAGUUACCAAAUAAUUAAAACUUCUUAAAG